UAACGCCCGGUCUCAUUCCGAACCCGGAAGCUAAGCCUCUCAGCGCCGAUGGUACUGCCCGGGGGACUGGGUGGGAGAGUAGGACGCCGCCGGAC
Molecule: ribosomal RNA, 95 nt
Filed under: Modestobacter sp. Leaf380
Lineage: Bacteria; Bacillati; Actinomycetota; Actinomycetes; Geodermatophilales; Geodermatophilaceae
Source: RNAcentral